UUGCUUCAGCAGCACAUAACACUAAAACUGGAACGACCCAGAGAUUAGCAUGGCCCCUGCACAAGGAUGACAAAAAAUGUUUCCAGAGAGAAUAAACAUCUUC
Small nuclear RNA from Leptonychotes weddellii (Weddell seal), 103 nucleotides. NCBI's taxonomy places the organism in Eukaryota, Metazoa, Chordata, Mammalia, Carnivora, Phocidae. The record is from RefSeq and is a predicted model, not a curated record.